RNAcentral lists this ribosomal RNA (253 nucleotides) under uncultured bacterium. RNAcentral describes it as "partial 16S ribosomal RNA". It matches the Rfam family "Bacterial small subunit ribosomal RNA", at positions 524 to 776 of the family's 1533-position model. The record is from RNAcentral.
UACGAAGGGGGCUAGCGUUGCUCGGAAUCACUGGGCGUAAAGGGUGCGUAGGCGGGUCUUUAAGUCCGGGGUGAAAUCCUGGAGCUCAACUCCAGAACUGCCUUUGAUACUGAGGAUCUUGAGUUCGGGAGAGGUGAGUGGAGCUGCGAGUGUAGAGGUGAAAUUCGUAGAUAUUCGCAAGAACACGAGUGGCGAAGGCGGCUCACUGGCCCGAUACUGACGCUGAGGCACGAAAGCGUGGGGAGCAAACAGG